UUUGCCUACGGGGGGCAGCAAUGGGGAAUAUUGCACAAUGGGGGGAACCCUGAUGCAGCGACGCCGCGUGAGUGAAGAAGUAUUUCGGUAUGUAAAGCUCUAUCAGCAGGGAAGAAAAUGACGGUACCUGACUAAGAAGCCCCGGCUAACUACGUGCCAGCAGCCGCGGUAAUACGUAGGGGGCAAGCGUUAUCCGGAUUUACUGGGUGUAACGGGAGCGUAGACGGCGCUGCAAGUCCGGAGUGAAAGUCCAUGG
Molecule: ribosomal RNA, 256 nt
Filed under: uncultured bacterium
Lineage: Bacteria
Description: partial 16S ribosomal RNA
Rfam family: Bacterial small subunit ribosomal RNA
Source: RNAcentral